This is a long non-coding RNA of Myotis brandtii (Brandt's bat), 345 nucleotides long. RefSeq lists it as uncharacterized. The transcript is spliced from 3 exons. The record is from RefSeq and is a predicted model, not a curated record. NCBI's taxonomy places the organism in Eukaryota, Metazoa, Chordata, Mammalia, Chiroptera, Vespertilionidae.
AUUAAAAAUGGUGUGAAGACUUGGUGAAGCAGGAGGUCCCACGGGGGUGAGGCCGACGGAGUCCUAACGAAGCAUGCCCGACUCCGGAGACCGGUUCAGUGACGCAGAUCUAAGUUUAUUGUGUAAGUGCAGCAACAUAUAUAACAUUCCAGACCAAUCAGAAGUUUACAACAUCCAUAGGGCAACCAAUAGUAGGAAAGAUCAGGGUACUAUGUAGGGGCUCUAGGGGGUCUGCUCAGGCGGGCGAUGCCACUUCCUGGUGUGCCGAGGAAGCUUGUGCAGGCGGAGUGUGCUCACCCCAUUGCAUCUGCCACAGCACUGAGAUAAAUCUCCUGAGCUCUUCCU